AGCAGUUAAGCACUCAGCUUCUAACUGAAAGGUUGGUGGUUCGAAUCCACCAGCAGCUC
This 59-nucleotide transfer RNA is filed under the name Loxodonta africana (African savanna elephant). It matches the Rfam family "tRNA", at positions 14 to 71 of the family's 71-position model. From Rfam's summary of the family: Transfer RNA (tRNA) molecules are approximately 80 nucleotides in length. Their secondary structure includes four short double-helical elements and three loops (D, anti-codon, and T loops). Lineage: Eukaryota; Metazoa; Chordata; Mammalia; Proboscidea; Elephantidae. The record is from Rfam by way of RNAcentral.